RNAcentral lists this long non-coding RNA (224 nucleotides) under Capsicum annuum. RNAcentral describes it as "long non-coding RNA (CANN_LNC019253)". The record is from RNAcentral. Lineage: Eukaryota; Viridiplantae; Streptophyta; Magnoliopsida; Solanales; Solanaceae.
UUGAAAUAAAAAUAGUGAAGCCCGAUUUUUUUCAUUUUCAAUGUUUGUUGAAUGUAUUGUUAUUUUCAUAUACAUAGAGGAAGACUUACCUAUGUUACUUUUGCUAAUUGCAUAUUUCAUUUUAUCAUCGAUGUAACAUGUUUCACGAGGUUGAAUAAGCUUGUCGUUCCGUUAUAUUUCUAUUGAUUGUAGUAUCUUGAGAUUGUCCUGACAAAAUAUUAAAA